GAAAUAAAAGUUUCUGCAGUUCCGCAUCAAUCUGGUGAAAGAAAAUAUAUUUUUUACUUUCAAAUCGAUGAAGAAGCUGCUCACAAAGUGGAAAAUUUGGAUUUUAUAACUUACUUAAACAUUGAACAUGACAAUAAUUACGCUUUAUUGUUUAUUCUCUAUCUCAUCGAGAGGGGGUACUAUCCAGUGACAUCAAAGGAGUACUCUUCAAUCUACAAAAGUAUAGAUUGCAUCGAUUUUGAAAUUAUAAAUUAAUAUCGCUUAUCAUUAUAAAAAUAACUAAUAAAAACUAAACAUU
Molecule: long non-coding RNA, 298 nt
Organism: Cotesia glomerata
Lineage: Eukaryota; Metazoa; Arthropoda; Insecta; Hymenoptera; Braconidae
Exons: 3
Source: RefSeq, a predicted model, not a curated record